Molecule: ribosomal RNA, 514 nt
Filed under: uncultured bacterium
Lineage: Bacteria
Description: bacterial SSU rRNA
Rfam family: Bacterial small subunit ribosomal RNA
Source: RNAcentral
GAUCAUGGCUCAGGAUGAACGCUAGCUACAGGCUUAACACAUGCAAGUCGAGGGGCAGCAUUGAGUAGCUUGCUACUCAAGAUGGCGACCGGCGCACGGGUGAGUAACGCGUAUCCAACUUCCCCUUAGUAGCGGAUAGCCCGGCGAAAGUCGGAUUAAUACGCUAUGUUCUUCGUCGAGGACAUCUGAAGUGAAGUAAAGACAUAGUCGCUAAGGGAUGGGGAUGCGUCUGAUUAGGUAGUCGGCGGGGUAACGGCCCACCGAGCCGUCGAUCAGUAGGGGUUCUGAGAGGAAGGUCCCCCACAUUGGUACUGAGACACGGACCAAACUCCUACGGGAGGCAGCAGUGAGGAAUAUUGGUCAAUGGGCGCGAGCCUGAACCAGCCAAGUAGCCGUGCAGGACGACGGCCCUAUGGGUUGUAAACUGCUUUUAUGCGGGGAUAAAGUGACGUACGCGUACGUUUUUGCAGGUACCGCAUGAAUAAGGACCGGCUAAUUCCGUGCCAGCAGCGGC